Molecule: microRNA precursor, 84 nt
Filed under: Branchiostoma floridae (Florida lancelet)
Lineage: Eukaryota; Metazoa; Chordata; Leptocardii; Amphioxiformes; Branchiostomatidae
Description: mir-2060 microRNA precursor family
Rfam family: mir-2060 microRNA precursor family
Source: Rfam by way of RNAcentral
GUGUGUGGAUGGUGUUCAGCACCAAGGACAGGUAAUUUUGUCUAUGUGGAUGGCAUUUAGCAACAGGGACAGGUGUGUUUACCU